This 407-nucleotide ribosomal RNA is filed under the name uncultured bacterium. Its description in RNAcentral is "bacterial SSU rRNA". It matches the Rfam family "Bacterial small subunit ribosomal RNA", at positions 917 to 1344 of the family's 1533-position model. The record is from RNAcentral.
GGGCCCGCACAAGCGGUGGAGCAUGUGGUUUAAUUCGAUGAUACGCGAGGAACCUUACCAGGGCUUAAAUGUAGUGGGACAGGUCUAGAGAUAGACCCUUCUUCGGACUCAUUACAAGGUGCUGCAUGGUUGUCGUCAGCUCGUGUCGUGAGAUGUUGGGUUAAGUCCCGCAACGAGCGCAACCCUUGUUUUUAGUUACUUUUCUAGAAAGACUGCCGGUUAUAAGCCGGAGGAAGGCGGGGACGACGUCAAGUCAGCAUGCCCCUUACACCCUGGGCUACACACGUGCUACAUUGGAUAAGACAAUGAGUCGCGAACCUGCGAAGGUUAGCAAAUCUAUAAACUUAUUCUAAGUUCGGAUUGUAGGCUGAAACUCGCCUACAUGAAGCUGGAAUCGCUAGUAAUCG